UCAGUUCAACUCGUAUCAAAAAGUAGAGGCGGAACGAGAGGGUUUACUCCAUCCGAAAUCUGUCCGCCAAAAUGAGACCACAAAGUGAGGAAUUUUUCUAUGGAGGAUAAAAUGAGUGUCGAAUGUGGAAAAUGUCCAUUUGUUAGAGCGGUCCCUCAACUAUCUUGUCAAUAUAAUAUAAAUCGUUGCUCGUAUCUAGUUUAGUGUCGGAGAUACAAAAAAACCUAGAAGAUUGGAAAGAAUGAACACCAAAGAAGCAACGCAAGAGGCAAAAUUCAAUAGGGCUGUUCACGAGUCAAUCCGGAAGGCCAGCAGCUUGUCGGAGUGCAGGUUGUUGAGGGUGCGCAGGUCGGGCAAGUGCAGGAGCAGCUUGGGGAAGAUGGACGCGCUCUCGUCAGGGCGACGGCAGUGGAUGAGGGAAUGCAGGGCACGGAUUAACCCCUCCUGGAGCUGUUCUACUGCCCCCAUAUCAAUGAUGCCAGAAAGGUCUAAGGAGACAAGAAGAGAGGAGACCAGCACCACGGCCAUGAACAGAGCCAUCUCAUCAGGCUCCAGCCUCAGAGUUCCCAGCUUCUCACUGAAGUCAAAGAUGGCGUCGAGCAGCGCCCCCAUCCCCAGCGCCCGCAGGGUGGACAGAGGGUACGUCUGGCCAUUCAGGAAGGUCACCGUCCGCUCCUCAGGGUUAAACAUUGUACAAAACCUCACCAUCAACACCUGACCGAGACAGAAGACCCAGUGGAAGACACGGCCGCGCGGGCUAUGUGGUGCUUCCGCUCCCUCCUUGCCCAGCGCCCGCAAGCAGCACGACACCUGACCGCCGACUCACAUGGACUUCUGACACGGUUACUGCCUGGAUCAAAUUUGCAGUGUCGUGUAGACAUUUACAACAAUCAACAACCCAUUUACAACAAUGUCUAACAGAACUGUUGCUAGAGAAUUUAAUGUUCAUUUCUCUACCAUAAGCCGUCUCCAAUGUCAUUUUAAAGAAUUUGUCAGUACAUCCAACCGGCCUCACAAGCUUAGACCACAUGUAACCAUGCCAGCUCAGGACCUCCACAUCCGGCUACUUCAAAAAACAGAUAAAGCAACGCCUCUCCCCUAUUGGAUCUACAUAGUUUGUGUGUAUGCAUUGAUAUGUAGACUACGUGUGCCUUUAAAAAAAUUGAGUUCUGUCCUUGAGCUGUUCUUGUCUAUUAAUGUUCUGUAUUAUGUUUUGUGUGGACCCCAGGAAGAGUAGCUGCUGCUUUUGCAACAGCUAAUGGGGAUUCUAAUAAAAUACCAAAUACCUGUGGGAUCGUCUGAGGGGAUGCUGAAGAGUUUCUGUCUGUAAUAAAGCACUUUUGUGGGGAAAAACUCAUUCUGAUUGGCUGGGCCUGGCUCCUCAGUGGGUGGGCGUGGCUCCCAAGUGGGUGGACCGAUACUCUCUCAGGCCCCAUAAUGGCAAAGCAAAUUUAUAAAACAUAACUGAAAUAUCACAUUUACAUAACUAUUCAGACCAUUUACGCAGUACUUGCUGAAGCACCUUUGGCAGUGAUUACAGCCUUGAGUCUUAUUGUGUAUGAUGCGACAAGCUUGGCACACCUGUAUUUGGGGAGUUUCUCCCAUUCCUCUGCAGAUCCUCUCAAGCUCCGUCAGGUUGGAUGGGGAGUGUCACUGCACAGCUACUUUCAGGUCUCUCCAGGGAUGAUCGAUCGGGUUCAAGUCCGGGCCACUCAAGGACAUUCAGAGACGCGUCCCGAAGCCACUCCCGAGUUGUCUUGGCUGUGUGCUUAGGGUCGUUGUCUUUUUGGAAGGUGAAACUUCACCCCAGUCUGAGGUUCUGGGCCCUCUGAAGCAGGUUUUCAACAGGGAUCUUUGUACUUUGCCCCUUUAAUCGUUGCCUUUAUCCUGACUAGUCUCCCUUUCCUUGCCGCUGAAAAAACAUCCCCACAGCAUGAUGCUGCCACCACCAUGCUUCACUGUAGAGAUGUUGCCAGGUUUUCACCCAGACAUGAUGCUUGGGAUUCAGGCCAAAGAGUUCAAUCUUGGUUUCAUCAGUCCAGAGAAUCUUGUUUCUCAUGGUUUGAGAGUCUUUAGGUGCCUUUUGGCAAACUCCAAGCGGCCUGUCAUGUGCCUUUUACUGAGGGGUGGCUUCCGUCUGGCUCUACCAUACAGGUCUGAUUGGUGGAGUGCUGCAGAGAUGGUUGUCCUUCUGGAAGGUUCUUCCAUCUCCACAGAGGAACUCUGGAGCUCUGUCAGAGUGACCAUCGGGUUCUUGGUCACCUCCCUGGCCAAGGCCCUUCUCCCCCGAUUGCUCCGUUUGGCUGGGCAGAGAGCUCUAGGAAGAGUGUUGGUGGUUCCAAACUUCUUCCAUUUAAGAAUGAUUGAGGCCACUGUGUUCAUGAGGACAUUCAAUGCUGCAGACAUUUUUGGUACCCUUCCCCAGAUCUGUGCCUCGACACAAUCCUGUCUCGGAGCUCUGCGGACAAUUCCUUCAACCUCAAGGCUUGGUUUUUGCUCUGACAUGCACUGUCAACUGUGGGACCUUAUAUAGACAGCUGUGUGCCAUUCCAAAUCAUGUCCAAUCAAUUGAAUCUACCAUAGGUGGACUCCAAUCAAGUUGUAGAAACAUUUCAAGGAUGAUCAAUGGAAACAGGAUGCACUUGAGAGCUCAAUUUCAAGUGUCAUAGCAAAUGGUCUGAAUACUUAUGCCAAUAAGGUAUCAGAUUUUUAUUUGUAAUAAAUUUGCUAAAAUUGAUAAACCUGUUUUCGCUUUGUCAUUAUGGGGUAUUUUUGUAUAGAUUGCUGAGAGAAUAAAAACAUUUAAUACAUUUUAGAAUACGGCUGUAACGUAACAAAAUGUGGGAAAAGUCAAGAGGUAUGAAUACUUGUCGAAGGCACUGUAUAUUCCCAAAUACUAUGCACCUGUCAUGGAGUCUUACAUUUGUACGAGAAACAUGAGUAAAUCUGCCCUGGGCUUGUAUUUCUUUCCUCUUAUUGACUUCUCCGUUUUUCCCUGUGGUGCUGCUGAACCAAGUAUUUGUUUAUCUCGAGUGUUUUUAUAAUCCCUCAGCCAGCAGCACGUGCUACAGGAUUUAUUAUUGACACACUGCAGAGCCAGAGAUCUAGAGCAAGUCUUAGCAGACAUAUGACAGGGACCUGCUGUCCUGUUCUGGCCAGCCACUACCUGAGACUGGAAACAGACUGCCUCCAGACCCAGCCGGGGCUUGCCAAACCUCCACACCCACCCAAACACAUUGCAUAUCCACUUGAACACUCACAUGUGAGCUACUUCUGUGUUUACGUUUGUGAGCGCCCUUUAGGACUGAACUACUAUGCCAUAAAUGGUAGCCUAGUCAAUAAAUAAUCAGCUUUUACAGGCCUCUCCAAGGC
Molecule: long non-coding RNA, 3372 nt
Organism: Oncorhynchus keta (chum salmon)
Lineage: Eukaryota; Metazoa; Chordata; Actinopteri; Salmoniformes; Salmonidae
Exons: 5
Source: RefSeq, a predicted model, not a curated record